Molecule: RNA transcript, 2063 nt
Organism: Passer montanus (Eurasian tree sparrow)
Lineage: Eukaryota; Metazoa; Chordata; Aves; Passeriformes; Passeridae
Gene name: serine/arginine repetitive matrix protein 3-like
Exons: 3
Source: RefSeq, a predicted model, not a curated record
GGCGGCGAUGGGGGGGCUCGGUUGACACGGCGCUGCCUGUUCCCCGUCCCCGGGCGCUCUCCGCCGCUGCCCCCUCCUCAGCGAGGGACCGCGGGCCGCUCUCGCCGCACGGAGACGGAGCAGGGAUGCGGGAGAGGCCCGCAGGCUGCGGCGCACCGGCCUCCCCCAGCUCCUUCCCGCCCGCCCGGUCACCUUCCCGCGACCCCGGCGCGGGGGAGGCGUGGGGUCCCAGGAAACACCCUGAAGCGUGGUCAAGUGCCAGAGUCCAAUUACACUCCCAGAGAACCUUUGCCUGCCACAGUUAGUCUAAACAAGCAACAUCAAACAAACCAUCUGUGGAAAGAAAAACAGCCAUAAUCACGUUUCCAGCCAACACUCUGCUGACCCAUGAUACAGGAAAAAUGCAGAGGAUUAGGAACGCUUUCCCUGGUUGCUCAGGCAACAGCAAGACAUGGGAAUAUGAAAAGGUACCACCAUCCUUUGUACAGAAUCUCACUACACUUCUCAAAUGUGUUUAGAAUUUUUUGUUUUUCUUCUUUCCCAUUGUCACAUACUUAAAACAUGAACAUUAUUUGUUUAGUCUGCAACCUAGAAUGUGAAAAUGUUAAAUAUAAAAACAGAUAAUCUGUCUUUUUCCUACAGGAUAAAAUAAGUAGUUUUCUAAGAGGCUGUGGAAAUUUUCAAAAUUGUGCACUGAAAGGUUUCUAGGUGGUAUCCAAAACACAGCUACUAUUAUCUCUCUUUAAAAAUCCUCUAAUUUUGUGGUAUCUCUUAAGAAAAUAAAAUAAUUAUUCCUUCAUCUGCUUUUUUUUUCCCACUUACAUGUGCAAAUACCUAACAAAUAGGCCCCAUAAAGCUGCAACUUCACAGACCUAAUUAACUGUCAAAAUAAACUUACAGAGAAAGAUUGUUUCUGAAGGCUUUAUUUUCCAAAUUAAAAAAAGAUGCUUGGAAAUCAGAAAUUAAUGUAAGAAUACAAAGUAAAUAGUAUUCCAAGUUAGACAUCUGUAAGUUAUCUGACACAGGCACAAAAAUUCCAUCCAUAUAUCUGUGUAAAUUUAUAUCAUAGAAACUUAAUACAAACGGCAAACAUAUUUUUGGCUGGCCUGAUCUAUGGAAUUUUGGACCACUUAAUGGUUGAGGGAUUUUUAUCACUUGGUUUUGUGUUUUUAAGUAUGUAAACUAUACUUGUAAUGAAAGGAAUGUCCAUGAAUUAUGUGUGAGUGUGAGUCAUGGACCAGGCACUGCCUGCACCUCUGCGUGAGGUAAUUUCUGCUUUGACUCAGUGUCUGUCAGGGUCACACACCCCCUCUCAGUUCUGGUGCUGAUUGUGAAGGAUUCCAGCCUUGGCCUGAGUCAUCACUGGCUCUGUCAAGCAGGUGUUUUUCAAACUCCUUUCAGGACAUGUCAAUAGGAUUUCCCCCCACCUCUCCCUUCUCCUUGCUGUUCAUUGAAACACGUCCCCAGAUGCCACAGCAGCCCUGGGAUGGUUGGUCUGUACAGAUACUCUUUCCACUACCAACCUGCUACAUUUCCUGCUGUCUAUUUUGAGUUCUUGGAUGAUACAUACCACAAAAAACCAAAUAUGCAUACACCUCCAGGGUUCUGGGCUUCCAGAGCACCUGCUCCCCAUUUGUUGGGGUAUUGGGUAAUCCUGUUGCACAGUGUUCUGUCAGUGUAUGGGGUUGGUGGUGAAUGAAUGAAACCAGAGCAUGGAGCCCACACAGCAGCUGUUGGGAUUGCUCUUGCAAUUUCAGAGCAUUCAGGGGAAGUGUAAACCUCCCAAGAAACUCAGAAACCCUGAAACUGGGUGUGUAUUCAGCAGAAAGACUGAUGCUGAAGAGCCUUUAUGUGCUGUCCCUAAAACAAGUGAGGCUAAUGUUUGCAGAAUUCUUCUCACACCUAUUUGUAUCACAUGUCCCCAGUGCCUCUUCAUGCUUGUCCUCUGCUCAGACAGACAAUUCCCAAAGGGCAUUUUAAAUUAUUCUUUACAACUAUCCAAGUCUCUUUUCAACUACCUUCAGACUGCUCAGUAUAUUCCUUUAUCAUGAAGAUGUUUUGUC